RNAcentral lists this ribosomal RNA (736 nucleotides) under uncultured Acidobacteriota bacterium. RNAcentral describes it as "bacterial SSU rRNA". It matches the Rfam family "Bacterial small subunit ribosomal RNA", at positions 8 to 727 of the family's 1533-position model. The record is from RNAcentral. Lineage: Bacteria; Pseudomonadati; Acidobacteriota.
AGAGAUCAUGGCUCAGAAUCAACGCUGGCGGCGUGCCUAACACAUGCAAGUCGAACGCGAAAGUCCCGCAAGGGAUGAGUAGAGUGGCAAACGGGUGAGUAACGCGUGGGUGACCUGCCUUCGAGCGGGGGAUAACGUUCCGAAAGGGACGCUAAUACCGCAUAACAUCCUGCCUUUGAAGAGGCGGUGAUCAAAGCUGGGGAUCGCAAGACCUAGCACUUGAAGAGGGGCCCGCGUCCGAUUAGCUAGUUGGUGGGGUAAUGGCUCACCAAGGCAACGAUCGGUAGCCGGCCUGAGAGGGCGGACGGCCACACUGGGACUGAGACACGGCCCAGACUCCUACGGGAGGCAGCAGUGGGGAAUUGUUCGCAAUGGGCGCAAGCCUGACGACGCAACGCCGCGUGGAGGAUGAAGAUCUUCGGGUCGUAAACUCCUUUCGAUCGAGACGAAUUCCUCCGGGGUGAACAAUCCCGGAGGUUGACGGUACCGAGAGAAGAAGCCCCGGCUAACUCCGUGCCAGCAGCCGCGGUAAUACGGGGGGGGCAAGCGUUGUUCGGAAUUACUGGGCGUAAAGGGCUCGUAGGUGGCCAACUAAGUCGGACGUGAAAUCCCUCGGCUUAACCGGGGAACUGCGUCCGAUACUGGUUGGCUUGAGUUUGGGAGAGGGAUGCGGAAUUCCAGGUGCAGCGGUGAAAUGCGUAGAUAUCCGGAGGAACACCGGUGGCGAAGGCGGCUU